UACGUAGGAGACGAGCGUUGUCCGGAGUUACUGGGCGUAAAGGGCGCGCAGGCGGCCUCCCGCGUGAGUGGUGAAAGCUCCCGGCUUAACUGGGAGAGGUCCAUUCAGACGGGGAGGCUUGAGCGUCGGAGAGGGGCAUGGAAUUCCGGGUGGAGCGGUGAAAUGCGUAGAGAUCCGGAGGAACACCAAUGGCGAAGGCAGUGCCCUGGCCGACGGCUGACGCUCAGGCGCGAAAGCGUGGGGAGCAAAC
RNAcentral lists this ribosomal RNA (250 nucleotides) under uncultured bacterium. RNAcentral describes it as "partial 16S ribosomal RNA". It matches the Rfam family "Bacterial small subunit ribosomal RNA", at positions 524 to 773 of the family's 1533-position model. The record is from RNAcentral.